CGCGGCCGUCGCCGAGCCGCUCGCCGCCGUGGCGGAGGAGGGGGAGGGGGAGGGGGAGGCGUCCACCCUCACCAUGGAGCGCGUCGCCGCCGCCAAGAAGUUCAUCGAGAACCACUACCGCUCCCACAUGAAGAACAUCCAGGAGCGCAAGGAGAGGCGUUUUAGACUGGAGCGGCAGCUAGCUACUUCUGAAGUUCCCAGGGAGCAGCAAAUCAAUUUAAUAAAAGACCUGGAGAGAAAGGAAACUGAGUACAUGAGACUUAAAAGGCACAAAAUCUGCGUGGAUGACUUUGAGCUGCUCACCAUUAUUGGGAGAGGCGCUUUUGGAGAGGUUCGACUGUGCCGGGAGAAGACCUCUGGCAACAUAUAUGCAAUGAAAAAACUGAAGAAGUCUGAUAUGGUUAUCAGGGGUCAAGUGGAGCAUGUUAGAGCAGAAAGAAACUUGAUGGCUGAAGUUGCUAGUCACUGCACUGUGAAGCUAUACUAUUCUUUCCAAGAUACUGAGUAUCUUUACCUUAUUAUGGAGUACCUCCCUGGCGGUGAUAUCAUGACCCUUCUCAUGAGGGAAGAUACCUUAACUGAACCCGUGGCUCGAUUCUACAUUGCUGAGACCAUCCUUGCCAUUGAGUCCAUUCAUAAGCACAACUACAUCCACAGAGAUAUCAAGCCUGAUAAUCUGCUUCUAGACAAGAAUGGUCACAUGAAGUUGUCGGAUUUUGGGCUGUGCAAACCAAUUGAUUGUUCAAAGCUCUCAACCUUGAGCGAAGAUGAACCCAUGGGCGAUGACAACCUGAAGGAGUCAAUGGAUGUCGACAGUUCACUCUCUGAAACUGCAAAUGGCAGAAGGUGGAGAAGUCAACAUGAACAACUUCAGCACUGGCAGAUGAACAGAAGAAAACUGGCAUUCUCAACUGUUGGAACCCCAGACUAUAUUGCUCCAGAAGUUCUGCUAAAGAAAGGAUAUGGAAUGGAAUGCGAUUGGUGGUCUUUGGGUGCAAUAAUGUAUGAGAUGCUUGUUGGGUAUCCACCAUUUUAUUCCGAUGAUCCAAUAACCACAUGCAGAAAGAUUGUGCACUGGAGAAACCAUGUGAAAUUUCCAGAUGAUUCAAGGCUGUCUCCUGAGGCAAGAGAUCUAAUCUGCCGGUUAUUAUGUGAUGUUGACCACAGGAUUGGUGGUGCAGGGGCUGAUCAAAUAAAGGCCCAUCCUUGGUUCCGUGGAGUUGCAUGGGAUAAACUUUAUGAAAUGGAAGCAGCAUUUAAGCCUCAAGUAAAUGAUGAAUUGGAUACACAGAAUUUCAUGAAGUUUGAUGAGAUGGAUAAUAGCCCUCCAGCAAGAACAGGUUCUGGGCCAUCAAGAAAGGCGAAGCUGAAUUCAAAAGAUCUCAGCUUUGUGGGAUAUACAUACAAAAACUUUGAUGCUGUGAAAGGAUUAAAACAUGCAGAUAUGCAAAGGAGCUCAUCGCUAACAAGGCCCUCUAUUGGUGCUAUAUUCGGAUCAAAUGGCAUGGAGUCAUCGAGAGAACCAAAUGGAAAGGACACACACAUGCACACCUUUUCUUCUGGGGAUCCGAUGAGCCCAUAA
Molecule: ribosomal RNA, 1582 nt
Filed under: Triticum aestivum (bread wheat)
Lineage: Eukaryota; Viridiplantae; Streptophyta; Magnoliopsida; Poales; Poaceae
Description: partial small subunit ribosomal RNA
Source: RNAcentral